This 56-nucleotide transfer RNA is filed under the name Ophidascaris baylisi. RNAcentral describes it as "tRNA-His". The record is from RNAcentral. Lineage: Eukaryota; Metazoa; Nematoda; Chromadorea; Rhabditida; Anisakidae.
AGCUUUUUAGUUUAUUAUAAAAACGUUUGCUUGUGGUGUAGGAGAAAGUUGAGCUU